GACGAACGCUGGCGGCGUGCUUAACACAUGCAAGUCGAGCGGUAAGGCCCUUUCGGGGGUACACGAGCGGCGAACGGGUGAGUAACACGUGGGUGACCUGCCCUCAGCUCUGGGAUAAGCCUGGGAAACCGGGUCUAAUACUGGAUAUGACUCCAUGACGCAUGUUGUGGGGUGGAAAGCCUUGUGCGGCUGAGGAUGGGCCCGCGGCCUAUCAGCUUGUUGGUGGGGUGAGGCCUACCAAGGCGACGACGGGUAGCCGGCCUGAGAGGGCGACCGGCCACACU
Molecule: ribosomal RNA, 284 nt
Filed under: uncultured bacterium
Lineage: Bacteria
Description: partial 16S ribosomal RNA
Rfam family: Bacterial small subunit ribosomal RNA
Source: RNAcentral